AGCUUUGCGCAGUGGCAGUAUCGUAGCCAAUGAGGUUUAUCCAAGGCGCGAUUAUUGCUAAUUGAAAACUUUUCCCAAUACCCUGCCAAUGACGACUUGAAAUAUAGUCGUCAUUGGUUAAAAAAAAAAAAAA
Non-coding RNA from Ictidomys tridecemlineatus (thirteen-lined ground squirrel), 133 nucleotides. Lineage: Eukaryota; Metazoa; Chordata; Mammalia; Rodentia; Sciuridae. The record is from Rfam.